AGAUUAAGUUAUUAAGGGCGCACGGUGGAUGCCUUGGCACUAGAAGCCGAUGAAGGACGUUACUAACGACGAUAUGCUUUGGGGAGCUGUAAGUAAGCUUUGAUCCAGAGAUUUCCGAAUGGGGAAACCCAGCAUGAGUUAUGUCAUGUUAUCGAUAUGUGAAUACAUAGCAUAUCAGAAGGCACACCCGGAGAACUGAAACAUCUUAGUACCCGGAGGAAGAGAAAGAAAAUUCGAUUCCCUUAGUAGCGGCGAGCGAAACGGGAAGAGCCCAAACCAAAAAGCUUGCUUGUUGGGGUUGUAGGACACUCUGUACGGAGUUACAAAGGACGACAUUAGACGAAUCAUCUGGAAAGAUGAAUCAAAGAAGGUAAUAAUCCUGUAGUCGAAAAUGUUGUCUCUCUUGAGUGGAUCCUGAGUACGACGGAGCACGUGAAAUUCCGUCGGAAUCUGGGAGGACCAUCUCCUAAGGCUAAAUACUCUCUAGUGACCGAUAGUGAACCAGUACCGUGAGGGAAAGGUGAAAAGCACCCCGGAAGGGGAGUGAAAUAGAACCUGAAACCGUGUGCUUACAAGUAGUCAGAGCCCGUUAAUGGGUGAUGGCGUGCCUUUUGUAGAAUGAACCGGCGAGUUACGAUUUGAUGCAAGGUUAAGCAGUAAAUGUGGAGCCGUAGCGAAAGCGAGUCUGAAUAGGGCGUUUAGUAUUUGGUCGUAGACCCGAAACCAGGUGAUCUACCCUUGGUCAGGUUGAAGUUCAGGUAACACUGAAUGGAGGACCGAACCGACUUACGUUGAAAAGKGAGCGGAUGAACUGAGGGUAGCGGAGAAAUUCCAAUCGAACCUGGAGAUAGCUGGUUCUCUCCGAAAUAGCUUUAGGGCUAGCCUCAAGUGAUGAUUAUUGGAGGUAGAGCACUGUUUGGACGAGGGGCCCCUCUCGGGUUACCGAAUUCAGACAAACUCCGAAUGCCAAUUAAUUUAACKUGGGAGUCAGAACAUGGGUGAUAAGGUCCGUGUUCGAAAGGGAAACAGCCCAGACCACCAGCUAAGGUCCCAAAAUAUAUGUUAAGUGGAAAAGGAUGUGGCGUUGCCCAGACAACUAGGAUGUUGGCUUAGAAGCAGCCAUCAUUUAAAGAGUGCGUAAUAGCUCACUAGUCGAGUGACACUGCGCCGAAAAUGUACCGGGGCUAAACAUAUUACCGAAGCUGUGGAUUGUCCUUUGGACAAUGGUAGGAGAGCGUUCUAAGGGCGUUGAAGCAUGAUCGUAAGGACAUGUGGAGCGCUUAGAAGUGAGAAUGCCGGUGUGAGUAGCGAAAGACGGGUGAGAAUCCCGUCCACCGAUUGACUAAGGUUUCCAGAGGAAGGCUCGUCCGCUCUGGGUUAGUCGGGUCCUAAGCUGAGGCCGACAGGCGUAGGCGAUGGAUAACAGGUUGAUAUUCCUGUACCACCUAUAAUCGUUUUAAUCGAUGGGGGGACGCAGUAGGAUAGGCGAAGCGUGCGAUUGGAUUGCACGUCUAAGCAGUAAGGCUGAGUAUUAGGCAAAUCCGGUACUCGUUAAGGCUGAGCUGUGAUGGGGAGAAGACAUUGAGUCUUCGAGUCGUUGAUUUCACACUGCCGAGAAAAGCCUCUAGAUAGAAAAUAGGUGCCCGUACCGCAAACCGACACAGGUAGUCAAGAUGAGAAUUCUAAGGUGAGCGAGCGAACUCUCGUUAAGGAACUCGGCAAAAUGACCCCGUAACUUCGGGAGAAGGGGUGCUCUUUAGGGUUAACGCCCAGAAGAGCCGCAGUGAAUAGGCCCAAGCGACUGUUUAUCAAAAACACAGGUCUCUGCUAAACCGUAAGGUGAUGUAUAGGGGCUGACGCCUGCCCGGUGCUGGAAGGUUAAGAGGAGUGGUUAGCUUCUGCGAAGCUACGAAUCGAAGCCCCAGUAAACGGCGGCCGUAACUAUAACGGUCCUAAGGKAGCGAAAUUCCUUGUCGGGUAAGUUCCGACCCGCACGAAAGGCGUAACGAUUUGGGCACUGUCUCAACGAGAGACUCGGUGAAAUCAUAGUACCUGUGAAGAUGCAGGUUACCCGCGACAGGACGGAAAGACCCCGUGGAGCUUUACUGUAGCCUGAUAUUGAAAUUCGGCACAGCUUGUACAGGAUAGGUAGGAGCCUUUGAAACGUGAGCGCUAGCUUACGUGGAGGCGCUGGUGGGAUACUACCCUAGCUGUGUUGGCUUUCUAACCCGCACCACUUAUCGUGGUGGGAGACAGUGUCAAGCGGGCAGUUUGACUGGGGCGGUCGCCUCCUAAAAGGUAACGGAGGCGCUCAAAGGUUCCCUCAGAAUGGUUGGAAAUCAUUCAUAGAGUGUAAAGGCAUAAGGGAGCUUGACUGCGAGACCUACAAGUCGAGCAGGGUCGAAAGACGGACUUAGUGAUCCGGUGGUUCCGCAUGGAAGGGCCAUCGCUCAACGGAUAAAAGCUACCCCGGGGAUAACAGGCUUAUCUCCCCCAAGAGUUCACAUCGACGGGGAGGUUUGGCACCUCGAUGUCGGCUCAUCGCAUCCUGGGGCUGUAGUCGGUCCCAAGGGUUGGGC
RNAcentral lists this ribosomal RNA (2579 nucleotides) under Staphylococcus aureus. RNAcentral's name for it is "bacterial LSU rRNA". It matches the Rfam family "Bacterial large subunit ribosomal RNA", at positions 1 to 2577 of the family's 2925-position model. Lineage: Bacteria; Bacillati; Bacillota; Bacilli; Caryophanales; Staphylococcaceae. The record is from RNAcentral.